CUUUUUUUUUUUUUUUUUUUUGGCUAAACUUUUUUUUCUUCCCAAAUCAAUUGGGGGACGAAAACUAAAAGCUGCAUUAUACAAAGGCAACACUCAGAAAAUUCCUUCCAUCAAACCCCAAACAACUCGAUUGAAUGAGAUCUCACACUUAACACGCCAGUAUAGAAAUGUUACAAGUCACACCUUGAUAGGGUCAUAUUUCUCACCCAUAACACCACCUUUUUGUUUCUGGAACUGAAUGUACCUAAUUGUGCUGGCAAAGAAAGCACUUGCUGCUGGAUCAGGGGUAGUAGAAUCACUUUGCAUUUCAGUAUUAAUUAAUUCUAUCAAGCUCUGGAUGGCAGAACUAGUAAUCUGUGGGUUUGCUUUUUCAAAGAAGUACAGAUACUUGUUCAAUAUUUCAACAAAGAGUAUAACUGGUCCACCGCUGCCUCUUGUAACAGUGGCCAUUUGCUGUGCGGCGUUUGCAAUCCUCAAGGCACGCUUAAGACAAAGUAGGACCCUUUCUCCAUCCUUGAUGCCAUCCAGAUCAUCAACCCAAAAUAGAUGUGAACAUGCAUAAACUGCUCUGCAUUGAUCAGGUUUCUUCAAAAGCUUUGCAGAAUAUCCAGUGGCCUUGUGUGUUAAGGUAUCCCUGUUCUCUACACCAAAUACAUUCAUCCUCUGGAGAGUACCAAUAAUUAGAUGUAUUGCAGUCACCUGGGCCUUGGAAUCUGCAAUUUCUUCUUCAUAUAGGACAAAUGCCUGAGUGAAAAAUUCAUAAGCAAUUGGCUCAAGAUCACAGUCAUUUGCAGCCUCAGCACAUUGCAAAUACAGCCUUAAUGCAAGCUCAGGUGAUGGAACAGAUGACAGAGCCUCAAUGGUCUGAUAAAACCAGAUAAUAUUAUUAGAAGCACUAGGAAGAUAAAAUCACACUGGUGUUCUAUCAAGCAAAGAAAUAUAAGCAUAAAACAAUGAAAAAUUAGAGGCAAAAUGGAAAAUAAAAAGCAAGGGUAAAAUGAGAAGAAAUCAAAGAACACUUUUGGCAAGGAAAUUUUCUAAAAGAAGAAUCCAAACUUGAUUGGUUGAAAGAAACAAUAUUUGUAGAAAACUGGAAAGAUAAAAGAAACAAAGACAGUUUACAAGCAUUCCAACUAGUCAAGAACUAUAUGUCUAAAUUGCUAGGAGGAUUUCAGUUCACGCAUAAAAUUAAACAUGUCAUAAUUAAAAAUGUGUUCUCCCGCAGGUUCCAUUAGUGCUAUGUAUAUGCAUCAAGAGACCGAUCAUGACAUGGCAACAGCAAUAAGAAAAAGCUUAAACAGAGUUACUGGAUUCAAGAGUUGAAAAAUUUUCUUAGGUGUAGCAGGCAGUUCUUCUCCUACUACAUCUCCAUCCUGACAUUGCAACUUCCUGACCAGCUGCAAGCAACAAACAGAAUUCCAAAGAAUAAUCAGCUCGGGACGUUAUUAACUGUAGCUGGUCAUUCAUUCAAGAGCCGACCUUUCAACUACUUUUGAUUUGGUCAUUCAUUCCAGAUAAAAGGAAAAUGAAGAAGCAAUGGUGAGCAAUAAUAAUAUUAAAUAAUCAAAAUUAACCAAUAUCACAGUCCAUAUUGCAAAACUAGAUAUGGAAAUUAGUUUUUCUUAGAGAACUUUCACAUUGUAUAAUUCAAUAUUGUCCAGGCCAUUGACAUGCUGAAGGAAUAAAAUGGUCAUCACAAAGGAACACAGUUUUAUUUACAAGAAGAGAGAUCAUGAUUAGAUCACAACAACUGUAUCUUCAGCCUCUCUGAAGUACAGAGACAUAAAUAACAAAUUUUCCUCCUUUAAAAAGUUGGGUUGUGGAUAGCUAUCAGCUUAUCAUGCAUCCUAUUUUAGCUAUAACAGGGUUGAUACAAAAGACAGUGCCAAGAAAUGUGUACAUAUGGAAAUGAUAUGACAAAAAGUAACAUCUUUAACAUUGUCAUGUGUUAUCUGUUAAACUAUUUGUUUCAAAAACAGCCUCAAAACUUUUCAGUAUAAAAGAAACAAGGCAUACCAUCUGGUACUUUGAUAGAAAGCCAUACAUAUAACCUUAAACCAAUGCUAUCUGCUAACAGGAACACAGUGAGAAUUGAAGAGAAAAGUCCACCAACAUUUGUGAAAGUAAGAAACAUACCCUAAGUGCAGAAAAUAUGAGAGGAGGAACUGUAAAAGGUAAGCGUUUUGGUCCUCCAGUCAUUAUAUGCUUCUUCACAGUACAGAAAAUCUUCAACAUUUCCUCUGGCUCACCAUUAUAAAGCAUGUGUAUAAGGCGAGCAACAGAAUUUUGUUCUUCCUUGAAAUCCUCCUCAUCAAGCUCCUCUGCAGUAGUUCCAUCCAAAUCCUUAAUGAGGCCUUUUAUCAAUUCAAACAACACCUCAACCUUAUCAGCACUAGAAAUGCAAGUAUAAUUUUUCAUAAUGCUUUGGAUAAUAACCAUGGCCAUAACUUUGUUAGUCUCAUUAUCAAGACGGUCCAUAACACGAGGAUAAUUUGAAAGUGUCAAGGCAGUGACGACAUCAUUGUAUUUCUCUAAUGGAGCACUCAGAAGUGCAACAAUUUGUUUUGUUGCUCUACUGUCUUCAAGCUUUGGCUUUCCAGAAAGCUUCUUCACACAUGCCCCCAGCACUUGAUCCACAUAAUCCAACCGAUCAGGAUGUACACGGAGUGUAAAUGUAAGGAGGGAUAAAUACAAAGUAAUGGCUCCAACAAUUGGCAUGUCAACAUGUGCUUCUGUCACCUACCAUUGAAUUAAGGCUAUCAAAAUAAUAGAAAAUAGUUCCAAUAUCUUAAUUAGGCAUAUCAACAGAAAACAAUCAUCAAAGUCACUCCCUUGUGUUACUUAAGUAUUUCCGUAGUGCUUAGAUUUGAUUUACUGUAAACCUUUGCAACAUCAACUAACUGAGAAGCCAACUUGCAUUAGCAGCAGGCUU
RNAcentral lists this unclassified non-coding RNA (2932 nucleotides) under Hevea brasiliensis (rubber tree). The record is from RNAcentral. Lineage: Eukaryota; Viridiplantae; Streptophyta; Magnoliopsida; Malpighiales; Euphorbiaceae.